UCCGGCAUAACCCCGGGAAACUGGGGAUAAUUCUGGAUAACGCACAUAUGCUGAAUGCUUAAUGCGUCAAAUGGAUUCGUCUGCCCAAGGAUGGGUCUGCGGCCUAUCAGGUAGUAGUGGGUGUAAUGUACCUAUUAGCUUACGACGGGUACGGGUUGUAAGAGCAAGAGCCCGAAGAUGGAUUCUGAGACAUGAAUCCAGGCCCUACGGGGCGCAGCAGGCGCGAAAACUUUACAAUGCGGGAAACCGUGAUAAGGGGACACCGAGUGCCAGCAUCAUAUGCUGGCUGUCCGGGUGUGUAAAAUACACCUGUUAGCAAGGGCCGGGCAAGACCGGUGCCAGCCGCCGCGGUAACACCGGCGGCCCGAGUGGUGAUCGUGAUUAUUGGGUCUAAAGGGUCCGUAGCCGGUUUGGUCAGUCCUCCGGGAAAUCUGACAGCUCAACUGUUAGGCUUUCGGAGGAUACUGCCAGACUUGGAACCGGGAGAGGUAAGAGGUACUACAGGGGUAGGAGUGAAAUCUUGUAAUCCCUGUGGGACCACCUGUGGCGAAGGCGUCUUACCAGAACGGGUUCGACGGUGAGGGACGAAAGCUGGGGGCACGAACCGGAUUAGAUACCCGGGUAGUCCCAGCCGUAAACGAUGCUCGCUAGGUGUCAGGCAUGGCGCGACCGUGUCUGGUGCCGCAGGGAAGCCGUGAAGCGAGCCACCUGGGAAGUACGGCCGCAAGGCUGAAACUUAAAGGAAUUGGCGGGGGAGCACAA
RNAcentral lists this ribosomal RNA (762 nucleotides) under uncultured Methanosarcinaceae archaeon. RNAcentral's name for it is "SSU rRNA". It matches the Rfam family "Archaeal small subunit ribosomal RNA", at positions 120 to 881 of the family's 1478-position model. Lineage: Archaea; Methanobacteriati; Methanobacteriota; Methanomicrobia; Methanosarcinales; Methanosarcinaceae. The record is from RNAcentral.